This is a long non-coding RNA of Siniperca chuatsi (mandarin fish), 355 nucleotides long. RefSeq lists it as uncharacterized. Lineage: Eukaryota; Metazoa; Chordata; Actinopteri; Centrarchiformes; Sinipercidae. The transcript is spliced from 3 exons. The record is from RefSeq and is a predicted model, not a curated record.
CCUGUCUUUUCACUGUAUCUCACUUCAAGUCAAGAUAACUUUAAUUAUCAUUCAGACUAUACACAGGACAAGUGCACAGUAGAACGAAAUUAUGUUGCAUCCGGCUCACGAUGAUAAUUGAGAAGUACUAUAGAACUGACCGAGGAGCCAGUGCAGCCGCUGCUGUACAGGGCCCCGCCAUCAAUGAGAAACAUUGGUUCAAUACAAUAUGAGAACAAGGGGGAGUACCCAGAAAGGAAGCAAGGAAGAAAGAAAGGCCAGAGGACAUUAUUAUAUCCAUUUUUGAGAGUAGUAAUUGGGCCUACAGCACAAGUUCAGUUUUCACCUGCACAUCCUCAUACCUAAACGACAGAAC